GGACCUGUAGCGCAGCGGUUGACGCGCCCCAAACCCUCGUGGUGGCGGGAGGACGCCGGUUCGAAUCCGGCCUGGUCCGC
This 80-nucleotide transfer RNA is filed under the name Saccharothrix coeruleofusca. RNAcentral's name for it is "tRNA-Glu". It matches the Rfam family "tRNA". Rfam says of the family: Transfer RNA (tRNA) molecules are approximately 80 nucleotides in length. Their secondary structure includes four short double-helical elements and three loops (D, anti-codon, and T loops). The record is from RNAcentral. Lineage: Bacteria; Bacillati; Actinomycetota; Actinomycetes; Pseudonocardiales; Pseudonocardiaceae.